Molecule: ribosomal RNA, 253 nt
Filed under: uncultured bacterium
Lineage: Bacteria
Description: partial 16S ribosomal RNA
Rfam family: Bacterial small subunit ribosomal RNA
Source: RNAcentral
UACGUAGGGUGCGAGCGUUGCCCGGAUUUAUUGGGCGUAAAGGGCGCGUAGGCGGCCACGCACGUCCGUUGUGAAAUCGCCCGGCUCAACUGGGCGGGGUCGGCGGAUACGGCGUGGCUGGAGCAAGCUAGGGGGCAAUGGAAUUCCCGGUGUAGUGGUGGAAUGCGUAGAUAUCGGGAGGAACACCAGUGGCGAAGGCGACUUCCUGGCCUGUUCUUGACGCUGAGGCGCGAAAGCUGGGGGAGCAAACGGG